AAGACUAUACUUUCAGGGAUCAUUUCUAUAGUUUGUUACUAGAGAAGUUUCUCUGACUGUGUAGAGUACCUAAGACCAUGAGGAGGAGACGCAUUCUCUCCUGAGCGUGAAGCCGGCUCUAGGUGUUGCUUUAACUGCAACUGCUUUUUACCACUGAUGAUCGUUCUUAUCUCCCUCAGGAGAGUAGAGGAAGAGAAUGCAGUCUGAGUGGUU
Molecule: small nucleolar RNA, 213 nt
Organism: Nannospalax galili (Upper Galilee mountains blind mole rat)
Lineage: Eukaryota; Metazoa; Chordata; Mammalia; Rodentia; Spalacidae
Source: Ensembl